GUAGGGAAUCUUCUGGCAAUGGACGGGAGUCUGACCGAGCAACGCCGCGUGAGUGAAGAAGGUUUUCGGAUCGUAAAGCUCUGUUGUUAGAGAAGAACGUUGGUAGGAGUGGAAAAUCUACCAAGUGACGGUAACUAACCAGAAAGGGACGGCUAACUACGUGCCAGCAGCCGCGGUAAUACGUAGGUCCCGAGCGUUGUCCGGAUUUAUUGGGCGUAAAGCGAGCGCAGGCGGUUCUUUAAGUCUGAAGUUAAAGGCAGUGGCUUAACCAUUGUACGCUUUGGAAACUGGAGGACUUGAGUGCAGAAGGGGAGAGUGGAAUUCCAUGUGUAGCGGUGAAAUGCGUAGAUAUAUGGAGGAACACCGGUGGCGAAAGCGGCUCUCUGGUCUGUAACUGACGCUGAGGCUCGAAAGCGUGGGGAGCAAACAGGAUUAGAUACCCUGGUAGUCCACGCCGUAAACGAUGAGUGCUAGGUGUUAGGCCCUUUCCGGGGCUUAGUGCCGCAGCUAACGCAUUAAGCACUCCGCCUGGGGAGUACGACCGCAAGGUUG
RNAcentral lists this ribosomal RNA (552 nucleotides) under uncultured bacterium. RNAcentral describes it as "bacterial SSU rRNA". It matches the Rfam family "Bacterial small subunit ribosomal RNA", at positions 354 to 896 of the family's 1533-position model. The record is from RNAcentral.